GAUGAACGCUGGCGGCGUGCCUAAUACAUGCAAGUCGAGCGAAUGGAUUAAGAGCUUGCUCUUAUGAAGUUAGCGGCGGACGGGUGAGUAACACGUGGGUAACCUGCCCAUAAGACUGGGAUAACUCCGGGAAACCGGGGCUAAUACCGGAUAACAUUUUGAACCGCAUGGUUCGAAAUUGAAAGGCGGCUUCGGCUGUCACUUAUGGAUGGACCCGCGUCGCAUUAGCUAGUUGGUGAGGUAACGGCUCACCAAGGCAACGAUGGGUAGCCGACCGUAGAGGAUGAUCGGCCACACUGGGACUGAGACACGGCCCAGACUCCUACGGGAGGCAGCAGUAGGGAAUCUUCCGCAAUGGACGAAAGUCUGAAGGAGCAACGCCGCGUGAGUGAUGAAGGCUUUCGGGUCGUAAAACUCUGUUGUUAGGGAAGAACAAGUGCUAGUUGAAUAAGCUGGCACCUUGACGGUACCUAACCAGAAAGCCACGGCUAACUACGUGCCAGCAGCCGCCGUAA
This 515-nucleotide ribosomal RNA is filed under the name uncultured bacterium. RNAcentral's name for it is "partial 16S ribosomal RNA". It matches the Rfam family "Bacterial small subunit ribosomal RNA", at positions 28 to 523 of the family's 1533-position model. The record is from RNAcentral.